RNAcentral lists this long non-coding RNA (550 nucleotides) under Nicotiana benthamiana. RNAcentral describes it as "long non-coding RNA (NBEN_LNC020660)". The record is from RNAcentral. Lineage: Eukaryota; Viridiplantae; Streptophyta; Magnoliopsida; Solanales; Solanaceae.
UUCAGUUAUGGAAGUGCACUAAUUAUCCAUUGCUAUAGAAUUACAACCUAACGAUUAUCGAUCUACGAAGCAUUCGAUUUAAAUUGGCGAGUUCAACAAACUAUAAUGAUUCUACACCUUCCAAAGAAGAAGGCAAACCACAAAUGGUGGACUGAUUUAUUUGAAAAUGCUUUUAACGAUUCAAGGACUCUAAUACAUACACAAGAAGAGCUUAUCAACACAAUACUAACAUGUUAUUGAAGUUAGCAAAUAAAAUUUCAGAUCCUUGUGCCUGAAUUAACUCGAAAAGGUGAUAUACAAAAAUCAGAUUCUUCCCCAAUUUUAAACAUUAAAGAGUGCUCAAGCCCAAAAUAAGAUACCGUCACACCUCCUUUUUCACUACACCUGCAAGGGCAUAAAUGAGUUUUUUCCAAUUAAAGAACAACCGGAACGGGUUUAUUAUUAAGAUUCAGAGUCGUCAGUUGGGAGAUUAAUGGUGUCCCAAGUCACCAGUUGAAUCUCGAACUGAGGAAAAAUAUUGACUCUGUUAACAGUCCGCGAACCAGAAAUC